RNAcentral lists this transfer RNA (75 nucleotides) under Planctomycetaceae bacterium. RNAcentral's name for it is "tRNA-OTHER". The record is from RNAcentral. Lineage: Bacteria; Pseudomonadati; Planctomycetota; Planctomycetia; Planctomycetales; Planctomycetaceae.
GACCAAGUGGUGGAACCGGCAGACACACGCUUUGACGUGCCCUCGGGCUUGGGAGUUCGAAUCUCCCCUUGGUCA